CCAUCUUGUUCCUAACUCUUUUGUUCUCCUUUUGAAUGGUUAUUUUGCCAUGACACAGAAUGUUACAACCAACCAGAAAUGAGAUUGAAUUGAAGGGAUAAACCCGUUUCAUUUUCAACCUUUUAUAUUCAUUUAUGUUAGUAUUAGACCGUUACUUCUCAAUGCUUUCGAUUGGGUUCCCGAUUGAAGAAGAAGUAGGCUAGAAUCCAACCUAGGCUACAUCUUAUGUUCCAUGUGGUCCUUUCCUUUCUUUGUUUUAUGCACUCUUCU
Molecule: long non-coding RNA, 270 nt
Filed under: Phaseolus vulgaris (common bean)
Lineage: Eukaryota; Viridiplantae; Streptophyta; Magnoliopsida; Fabales; Fabaceae
Description: long non-coding RNA (PVUL_LNC004075)
Source: RNAcentral